GUGAAAAAUUCAGACAACUGGGGGAUAAAGUCUAGUGUUAAGCCCAGCCUUAUGACUUCCUUGUACAAAGGGUACCAGAGAUUUGUGCACCCCUUAACCAUGAGGGGAUUUAGCCAUAUGUCCUGGAAUGCCAAAUUCCAAUAACCAAAUUGGACUCAAAUUGUGUCCACGUGAUCCGCAAAAACAACUCUCUCUAUGAUCAUUGAAGAAGACAGCAGAAAGAAGGGCCAUGACUAUUUCAGGACAAACUGAAAACUGGCUAAAUAAUUACCUCAAUUGAAACAAUAACAAAAGUGGUCACCUCACUUGUUUUGGUAAAAAUCUGAGGGAUGGGCCUGGAGAAAUGCAACCACUCUCAAACUCAUAAGACAGAGCUAUUGAGGCAACGAAUCACCAUCCAUCAUGUCGAAAUUAUAGUUUUAACUACACAUUGUUUGUUUACAUUUACAUUGUUUGCAAACAGUGGAGUAAAAAAAGCUUAUAUGUUGAGUUCUGAUGUGGUACGACUGUUGAAAUAAGCUCCUGGAGCAUUCAAAAGUUAUAUUCUUCAAGAAUCAAUGGGUAUACAGUGCAUUCGACAAGUAUUCAGACCCAUUCGACUUUUCCCACAUGUUGUUACAUUACAGCCUUAUUCUAAAACGGACUAAAGUUUUCCUAAUUGUUUAUAAACUAAAACUGUCCAAUGAGGCACAAGGACCCAAACCAGUAACUCAUUUAGCAGAACCAUACACCAAAUCUGCAAUACUACUGGCAUACGUUUCGCUUUACACUCAGAUUGCAAUUCCAUAACAAACGUUUCGCAAAACACAACACACAAUUCUCUACCUUUGGCGCCUACCUUCACAACUAAAAUAUCUUGUGAGCAAAUGAAAAGCAACACUGUUUAAUAACAAGCUAAGCUCAAUUACCAAUUAAUCACUUUCACAUGUGCAAACACUAAUCGUGUAAAUGUUCACUUUGCAAUCAAACCUUUGGUCUGGAUAAAAAGGCCACAGGUGAAUACUCCUGUGUUUGGAGAACAAUGGAAGCAAACUUGGCAGAAAAAGGUGGAGGAAGAACAAGAUCAAGAACAAGGAGAGUAAUCUCUGAUGAAAUUCAGGCAACUGUGGUCAACCAUGGUUUGACCUUGAGAGAGCCUGGGCAGAGAGUGCAGCCCAAUCUGAGCCGCUUCACCAUAGCAUCCGGAUGUUCCAAAAUGAGAAAAGAACUGAAAGACGACCCCCACUUGGUGGUAGAACGUGUCGGUUCACAGAUGAACAGGAGGCUGUCAUUGGGCAAAUGGUAGUUGAAAAUAAUGCCAUAAGACUGUGGGGAAAUCCAACAACAGGCUAUUGAAAACUAUGCCAUGUUCCAUAACAUCAGAGUGAACUUAUCAACCAUAGCCCGCAUCCUUAAAAAACAUCUCCGGAUGAAGCAAAUCUACAGAGUCCCAUUUGAAAGGAAUUUUCAAAGAGUGAAGGUUAAACGGUACGAAUAUGUGCACAGAAUCAUGGAGUUGGAUACAAGUCCCAUCCCCCAGGAACUCAUACUCAUAGAUGAGGUUGGAUUCAAUUUAGCGACGAUGAGGAGAGGAAGGAGCAUCAUUGGUCAACGCGCUAUCAUUGAGGUACCUGGCCAGCGUGGGCCAGAGCAGAAAGGGCCAGGUGAUCCUGAACAGCAAAUGCAUGUUCUAAUUUGGGACAACGUGAAUUUCCAUCGGGCUGCUCAGGUCCUCAACAGGUUCCCCAUGACCAUCCCAGGUUUACAAUUCUCUAUCUCCCACCCAUAUUCCCCAUUGAAGAGUAGUUUUCAGCAUGGCGGAGGAAGGUGUAUGAAACCCCAUGAACGUAUGGCCCUUCUCCAGGCAAUGGAGGAGGCCUGUGGUGACAUUCCAGCAGAGUCCUGUCAAGGGUGGAUGAGUCAUGCCAGAAGCUAUUUUCCAAACUGUCUGGCCAAGGAGAAUAUCGCCUGUGAUGUUGGUGUAAAUCUGUGGCCCGGACCAAAACAACAGACAUGACUGAUUUUGCAGUGGUGUAAAACAAUUAAGUAAAAACACUUUAAAGUACUACUUGAGUAGUUUAUUUGG
Long non-coding RNA from Oncorhynchus tshawytscha (Chinook salmon), 2065 nucleotides. Lineage: Eukaryota; Metazoa; Chordata; Actinopteri; Salmoniformes; Salmonidae. The record is from Ensembl.